GCCAUGCAUGUCUAAGUAUAAGUUAUACACAGCGAAACUGCGAAUGGCUCAUUAAAACAGAAAUAAUUUAUUUGAUGAUCUUUUUACAUGGAUAACCGUGGGAAACUGGGGCUAAUACAUGCGUAAAGCCGCAAGGCUGUAUUUAUUAGUUUCAAUCCAAUUUAACAUUGUUUAAAUUAAAGGAAUCAUAAUAACUAAUCGGAGCGAUGCAAGUCGCUACAUCAUUCAAGUUUCUGCCCUAUCAGCUUGAUGGUAGUGUAUUGGACUACCAUGGCUAUAACGGGUAACGGAGAAUUGGGGUUCGAUUCCGGAGAAGGAGCCUGAGAAACGGCUACUAUUUCUAAGGAAGGCAGCAGGCGCGUAAAUUACCCAAUCCUGAUUCAGGGAGGUAGUUAAUGGAAAUAACUAGUUCGUCUCAUUGAGAUUUGAACUUGUAAUGAGUUGAAUUUAGAUAAUUCUUCGAAUACUAUUGGAGGGCAAGUCUGGUGCCAGCAGCCGCGGUAAUUCCAGCUCCAAUAGCGUAUAUUAAAGUUGUUGCAGUUAAAAAGUUCGUAGUUGAAUGUCGGCAUUUUUGCCUGCCAGCUCGUCAUAGCGCUAUACUUGUAUUGUGUUAUGAAAGACUGGCUUUUACUGUGAACAAAAUAAAGUGCUCAGAACAGGCUUUUGCCUGAAUAAUACAGCAUGGAAUAAUAAAAUAAGACUUUCUUCAUUUUAUUGGUUUGAUGUAGAAAGUAAUGAUUAACAGAAACAGUUGGGGCCAUAUGUAUUUGAUAGUCAGAGGUGAAAUUCUAUGAUUUAUC
Molecule: ribosomal RNA, 800 nt
Filed under: uncultured ciliate
Lineage: Eukaryota; Ciliophora
Description: SSU rRNA
Rfam family: Eukaryotic small subunit ribosomal RNA
Source: RNAcentral